AUACGGAGGCUGCGAGCGUUAUCCGGAUUUAUUGGGUUUAAAGGGAGCGUAGGCGGGAUAUUAAGUCAGCUGUGAAAGUUUGGGGCUCAACCUUAAAAUUGCAGUUGAUACUGGUUUCCUUGAGUACGGUACAGGUGGGCGGAAUUCGUGGUGUAGCGGCGAAAUGCUUAGAUAUCACGAAGAACUCCGAUCGCGAAGGCAGCUCACCGGGCCGGAACUGACACUGAUGCUCGAAAGUGCGGGUAUCAAACAGGAUUAGAUACCCUGGUAGUCCGCACAGUAAACGAUGAACACUCGCUGUUUGCGAUACACGGUAAGCGGCCAAGCGAAAGCGUUAAGUAUUCCACCUGGGGAGUACGCCGGCAACGGUGAAACUCAAAGGAAUUGACGGGG
Molecule: ribosomal RNA, 393 nt
Filed under: uncultured bacterium
Lineage: Bacteria
Description: partial 16S ribosomal RNA
Rfam family: Bacterial small subunit ribosomal RNA
Source: RNAcentral